UGUCUCUUGAGAUUUAUUGAUUAUAAAAAUAGUGUUGCUUGUAACUUAUAUGCCAUAUUUGCCUCCUAUUUUAUUGUGGAUUGGAAAAAAAAAGUUUUGAAAUCAUGUGCUGUGCCCUUCCUUGUUGCUGUUCUAAUUUUUAAUAUUUGACAAGAAAGUUAUCUUGGGAUUCAGAUUUGUUGGGUCCAUUAGUCUUGUAUGUUAAAUAUUAAGUGUGCCAUCAAGGUUACUGCUAAUGAUGAUAUGCUAACUGCCAAAUGGUUCUGCUUUGAAAAUAUGUUAAACUGAG
RNAcentral lists this unclassified non-coding RNA (289 nucleotides) under Hevea brasiliensis (rubber tree). Lineage: Eukaryota; Viridiplantae; Streptophyta; Magnoliopsida; Malpighiales; Euphorbiaceae. The record is from RNAcentral.